RNAcentral lists this ribosomal RNA (437 nucleotides) under Shigella flexneri. Its description in RNAcentral is "partial 23S ribosomal RNA". It matches the Rfam family "Bacterial large subunit ribosomal RNA", at positions 2409 to 2840 of the family's 2925-position model. The record is from RNAcentral. Lineage: Bacteria; Pseudomonadati; Pseudomonadota; Gammaproteobacteria; Enterobacterales; Enterobacteriaceae.
GUCAUAGUGAUCCGGUGGUUCUGAAUGGAAGGGCCAUCGCUCAACGGAUAAAAGGUACUCCGGGGAUAACAGGCUGAUACCGCCCAAGAGUUCAUAUCGACGGCGGUGUUUGGCACCUCGAUGUCGGCUCAUCACAUCCUGGGGCUGAAGUAGGUCCCAAGGGUAUGGCUGUUCGCCAUUUAAAGUGGUACGCGAGCUGGGUUUAGAACGUCGUGAGACAGUUCGGUCCCUAUCUGCCGUGGGCGCUGGAGAACUGAGGGGGGCUGCUCCUAGUACGAGAGGACCGGAGUGGACGCAUCACUGGUGUUCGGGUUGUCAUGCCAAUGGCACUGCCCGGUAGCUAAAUGCGGAAGAGAUAAGUGCUGAAAGCAUCUAAGCACGAAACUUGCCCCGAGAUGAGUUCUCCCUGACCCUUUAAGGGUCCUGAAGGAACGUUG